Sapajus apella (tufted capuchin) is the source of this 1166-nucleotide long non-coding RNA. RefSeq lists it as uncharacterized. The transcript has 2 exons. The record is from RefSeq and is a predicted model, not a curated record. Lineage: Eukaryota; Metazoa; Chordata; Mammalia; Primates; Cebidae.
GAUAAGCCACCAAGACCAGCACAGGUACUAGCUGUGGGAGAAGUGAUUCCAGGAUAGAAGAGGACAAUCAAUUAUUACAGAUGUAGCCCCAAGCCCAACUGUAUCAGUGAGAGAGUUUUCUCCAUUAAUUUUCUUCUAGGAAGCUUACUCCAGGAAAGAAAUCCCUCAGAGUCCUGAAGAUACAGCUUUUGGAACUUAGGUGAAGAAAGAAGGCUCAAGACACAAACUUUGUUUAAAUCAGUAUUAACAUCAAUCACAUCACCAUCAAGAAGGCUGUAAUUUUGAUUGUUUGUCCAACAGUUGGGCCACGUUUUCCUGUUUUUCAUUUCUCUUCUUAUAUCUCAGUCUAUGCCAGGGGAGAAACUGGCUGAAGUUAAGGGCUAAUGUCAAGUACUAACUGAACAACAGAUGGAUGGCCUCAAUAAUGUUAUAUCCUGGUUGAAAUUAUUACCCAAUUUUUUUGGCAGACCUGAGAUCUAUGUAUCUCCAUUUAACAAGUGUAUGUAGACCAUUUCCUUAAAAGCAAAUUCCUAUAAAAUAUAUAUCAGAAAACAAUAGGUGUAAUUAAUAUAACUUUUUAAAUGCUUAAUAAAAUUUACCAGUAUACUAUCAUUUUCUUGAGAGAAGGUUCUUAAUCAUGAAUUUUUUUUACUUAAUGACAUUAUUUAAUUUUUUCUUUUCUUUUUGUUAAUUUGAUUUGUUAUGGCUUCUCAAAAAAAAGUUUGUCCUUUUCAUCUAAUUUGUUCAAUUUAUUUUCAUGAAAUUGGUCACAUACUUAAUGCUUCAUUCCUUUUUAUAUAACCAAAUUUCCAUCUGGUACCAUUUACUCUGAGCCAAAUGAGCUUCCUGUAUCAUUUCCUGUAGUACAUAUCUGCCAAUUGACACUUUUCUAGGUUGACAAGUUAUAUAAUUGCCUUUCAUUUAGUUUAAAGAUGUUGUUCCAUUGUCUUCUGAUUUUCAUUGUUUCUGAUGAGAGGUCAGCCUUCUUUCUUACUAUUGGUCCCCUGCAUUUAAUAUGUAAUAUGUCUUUUUUUCUCUUGCUUUUCAAAUGUCCUAUUUAAUUCUGAUUUUCAGUAGUUUAAUAUAAUGUCUGUUGCUUGGUAUUUGCUUAGAUUCCUGUAAUUAUGUAUGGGUUUUUAAAUAAAGUUUUGAAAUUUUUUAACCAU